GAGGCGAACCGGGGGAACUGAAACAUCUAAGUACCCCGAGGAAAAGAAAUCAACCGAGAUUCCGAAAGUAGCGGCGAGCGAAAUUGGACUAGCCCUUAAGCUUUACACGCGUUAGACGAACGGUCUGGAAAGUCCGACGAUACAGGGUGAUAGUCCCGUAGUUGACGACGUGUGUUCAGUGAAAUCGAGUAGGGCGGGACACGUGAUAUCCUGUCUGAAUAUGGGGGGAC
This 230-nucleotide ribosomal RNA is filed under the name Vibrio parahaemolyticus. RNAcentral describes it as "partial 23S ribosomal RNA". It matches the Rfam family "Bacterial large subunit ribosomal RNA", at positions 176 to 453 of the family's 2925-position model. Lineage: Bacteria; Pseudomonadati; Pseudomonadota; Gammaproteobacteria; Vibrionales; Vibrionaceae. The record is from RNAcentral.